This 253-nucleotide ribosomal RNA is filed under the name uncultured bacterium. RNAcentral's name for it is "partial 16S ribosomal RNA". It matches the Rfam family "Bacterial small subunit ribosomal RNA", at positions 524 to 776 of the family's 1533-position model. The record is from RNAcentral.
UACGUAGGGUGCGAGCGUUGUCCGGAAUUACUGGGCGUAAAGGGCGCGUAGGCGGUUCGCUAAGUUGAAUGUGAAAACUCUGGGCUUAACCCAGAGCCUGCAUUCAAUACUGGCGGGCUAGAGUUCUGGAGGGGAUAGCGGAAUUCCUGGUGUAGCGGUGAAAUGCGUAGAUAUCAGGAGGAACACCGGUGGCGAAGGCGGCUAUCUGGACAGAGUCUGACGCUGAGGCGCGAAAGCUAGGGGAGCAAACAGG